This 960-nucleotide ribosomal RNA is filed under the name Triticum aestivum (bread wheat). RNAcentral describes it as "partial small subunit ribosomal RNA". The record is from RNAcentral. Lineage: Eukaryota; Viridiplantae; Streptophyta; Magnoliopsida; Poales; Poaceae.
AUGAAUGAAAGCUUCUGCCCGAUCAUGUCGUGGAACGUCCGCAACCUAAACUAGCCGGCGAAACGGGCGGCGAUCUGCGAGGUUGCCAUAGCGCAUAAAGCAGCAAUCAUGUGCUUGUAGGAAACUAAGAUAGAUUUCUGGACACCCACCAUCGUCAGGGAAAUUGGUGGCGCCGCCCUGACUGAUUGUGUCGUCCUCCGUGCGAUCGGCUCCCGCGGCGGAGCAGCGAUCUUCUGGAACAAUGAGCUAGUUAGCAUCGCAUCUCACACAAUAGGCAAAUUCGCGAUCACCGCCAAAGUGACACUUCUCCGACAAUCCAAUAGCUUCUGGCUCACGACAGUUUACGGCCCAGUAGACAACGCUAGAAAAGCAGCAUUCCUCGAUGAACUGGCUAGAACAGCUCCCUCGUCAUCUGAUCCUUGGCUCAUGAACGGAGAUUUUAACCUCAUUUACGAGGCGAGAGACAAAAACAACCAUCAGCUCAACCGCAGGGUCAUGGGCAUGUUCAGGCGGUCCAUCAACGCCGCCGGCCUCAAAGAGAUUAAGUGCAAAAAUCGUCGCUUCACCUGGAGUAACGAGCGUGAGAACCCGACGCUCGUCAGCAUCGACAAAUUUUUCUACAAUAAUAGCUGGGAAGACCUUUUCCCCGCAAGCACACCGAUGACGGCGUCCACCGCGUGCUCGGACCACUGCCCUCUGCUCCUCGCGGAUGCAGUUGCUCCUCGCCGUCGCACCAAGUUCAAAUUCGAAAGCUUCUGGCCGUUGUUCCCGUGCUUCCAUGACACGGUCGACCACGCUUGGAGCAGGCCAGUCCAUAGCUCAUGUGCUUUCAAGCGCCUGUCCAUCAAGAUGGCGCGCACUACAAAAGACCUGAAGAUCUGGAGCUCCUCCCUUUUCAGCGAUGCUAAGAUACAAUUCCACAUAGCAACAGAGAUCAUCCUACGCCUCGACAUAGCCUAG